This 429-nucleotide ribosomal RNA is filed under the name Fusobacteriota bacterium. RNAcentral's name for it is "Fusobacteria bacterium partial 16S ribosomal RNA". It matches the Rfam family "Bacterial small subunit ribosomal RNA", at positions 355 to 776 of the family's 1533-position model. Lineage: Bacteria; Fusobacteriati; Fusobacteriota. The record is from RNAcentral.
UGGGGAAUCUUCCGCAAUUGACGAAAGUCUGACGGAGCAACGCCGCGUGAGUGAAGACGGCCUUCGGGUUGUAAAGCUCUGUUAUUCGGGAAGAACGAUUCGUUUGUGAACAAUGAACGGAAGUGACGGUACCGAAAGAGAAAGCCACGGCUAACUACGUGCCAGCAGCCGCGGUAAUACGUAGGUGGCAAGCGUUGUCCGGAAUUAUUGGGCGUAAAGAGCGCGUAGGCGGUAUGGUAAGUCUGUCUUAGAAGUGCGGGGCUUAACCCCGUGAGGGGACAGAGACUGUCAUACUGGAGUCUCGGAGAGGAAAGCGGAAUUCCUAGUGUAGCGGUGAAAUGCGUAGAGAUUAGGAAGAACACCGGUGGCGAAGGCGGCUUUCUGGACGAGCACUGACGCUGAGGCGCGAAAGCGUGGGGAGCGAACAGG